UACGGCCACGUUCAAACACCGGUUUCUGCACGAUCACCUAAGUUAAGCAACGUUAAGCCUAGACAGUACCUAAAUGGGUGACCACUUGGGAAUACCAGGUGCUGUAAG
Molecule: non-coding RNA, 108 nt
Organism: Acanthosepion pharaonis
Lineage: Eukaryota; Metazoa; Mollusca; Cephalopoda; Sepiida; Sepiidae
Source: the annotation of a GenBank genome assembly